UACGGAGGGUGCAAGCGUUAUCCGGAUUCACUGGGUUUAAAGGGUGCGUAGGCGGGCAGGCAAGUCAGUGGUGAAAUCUCCGGGCUUAACUCGGAAACUGCCGUUGAUACUCUCUGUCUUGAAUCCCGUGGAGGUGAGCGGAAUAUGUCAUGUAGCGGUGAAAUGCUUAGAUAUGACAUAGAACACCAAUUGCGAAGGCAGCUCGCUACACGAAGAUUGACUCUGAGGCACGAAAGCGUGGGGAUCAAACAGG
RNAcentral lists this ribosomal RNA (253 nucleotides) under uncultured bacterium. RNAcentral describes it as "partial 16S ribosomal RNA". It matches the Rfam family "Bacterial small subunit ribosomal RNA", at positions 524 to 776 of the family's 1533-position model. The record is from RNAcentral.